AGGGAUCAUUACCGAGUUUACAACUCCCAAACCCCUGUGAACAUACCACUUGUUGCCUCGGCGGAUCAGCCCGCUCCCGGUAAAACGGGACGGCCCGCCAGAGGACCCCUAAACUCUGUUUCUAUAUGUAACUUCUGAGUAAAACCAUAAAUAAAUCAAAACUUUCAACAACGGAUCUCUUGGUUCUGGCAUCGAUGAAGAACGCAGCAAAAUGCGAUAAGUAAUGCGAAUUGCAGAAUUCAGUGAAUCAUCGAAUCUUUGAACGCACAUUGCGCCCGCCAGUAUUCUGGCGGGCAUGCCUGUUCGAGCGUCAUUUCAACCCUCAAGCACAGCUUGGUGUUGGGACCCGCGUUAAUUCGCGUUCCCCAAAUUGAUUGGCGGUCACGUCGAGCUUCCAUAGCGUAGUAGUAAAACCCUCGUUACUGGUAAUCGUCGCGGCCACGCCGUUAAACCCCAACUUCUGAAUGUUGACCUCGGAUCAGGUAGGAAUACCCGCUGAACUUAA
This 505-nucleotide ribosomal RNA is filed under the name Fusarium oxysporum f. sp. cubense. RNAcentral's name for it is "eukaryotic LSU rRNA". The stretch from base 160 to 313 matches the Rfam family "5.8S ribosomal RNA". Lineage: Eukaryota; Fungi; Ascomycota; Sordariomycetes; Hypocreales; Nectriaceae. The record is from RNAcentral.